Molecule: ribosomal RNA, 313 nt
Filed under: uncultured Staphylococcus sp.
Lineage: Bacteria; Bacillati; Bacillota; Bacilli; Caryophanales; Staphylococcaceae
Description: bacterial SSU rRNA
Rfam family: Bacterial small subunit ribosomal RNA
Source: RNAcentral
AGUCCCGCAACGAGCGCAACCCUUAAGCUUAGUUGCCAUCAUUAAGUUGGGCACUCUAGGUUGACUGCCGGUGACAAACCGGAGGAAGGUGGGGAUGACGUCAAAUCAUCAUGCCCCUUAUGAUUUGGGCUACACACGUGCUACAAUGGACAAUACAAAGGGCAGCUAAACCGCGAGGUCAUGCAAAUCCCAUAAAGUUGUUCUCAGUUCGGAUUGUAGUCUGCAACUCGACUACAUGAAGCUGGAAUCGCUAGUAAUCGUAGAUCAGCAUGCUACGGUGAAUACGUUCCCGGGCCUUGUACACACCGCCCGU